GCUGGAAUAGCUCAAUUGGGAGAGCGUUAGACUGAAGUUGUUUACGCAUCUAAAGCCACCCAAUUCAAUCCCGGGUUCCGGCA
This 83-nucleotide transfer RNA is filed under the name Dreissena polymorpha. It matches the Rfam family "tRNA". Rfam says of the family: Transfer RNA (tRNA) molecules are approximately 80 nucleotides in length. Their secondary structure includes four short double-helical elements and three loops (D, anti-codon, and T loops). Further hydrogen bonds mediate the characteristic L-shaped molecular structure. tRNAs have two regions of fundamental functional importance: the anti-codon, which is responsible for specific mRNA codon recognition, and the 3' end, to which the tRNAs corresponding amino acid is attached (by aminoacyl-tRNA synthetases). tRNAs cope with the degeneracy of the genetic code in two manners: having more than one tRNA (with a specific anti-codon) for a particular amino acid; and 'wobble' base-pairing, i.e. permitting non-standard base-pairing at the 3rd anti-codon position. Lineage: Eukaryota; Metazoa; Mollusca; Bivalvia; Myida; Dreissenidae. The record is from Rfam by way of RNAcentral.